This is a long non-coding RNA of Suricata suricatta (meerkat), 323 nucleotides long. RefSeq lists it as uncharacterized. NCBI's taxonomy places the organism in Eukaryota, Metazoa, Chordata, Mammalia, Carnivora, Herpestidae. The record is from RefSeq and is a predicted model, not a curated record. The transcript is spliced from 2 exons.
AGCUGCUUCGACCCAGAAUGCUGCUCCAGACAGGCAGCAAGCACGCCCAGCCCCCGGCCCCUGCCAGGCCGGGCAUCAGAUCUUUGAGGCUCCAGCUCCAGUCCAGGCCCGGGGCAGGCUCAGGCAGGACAGUUCACCUGUGCCUAUCAUGCCGAGGGCCCCGGGUGGCUCCUUGGUCCUGCAAUAAUAAGAUUGUCACCCACACCUCACCACUGUCCCAGAAGUCACCUCGCACCGAUGGAACACCGGCCGCAUGAACACCAGGCUCCAAGCAAGGCGCAUGGCAUCAUGCAAAUCAAUAAAAAGAAACCUCGUUGAGGGGA